AACGAACGCUGGCGGCAUGCCUAACACAUGCAAGUCGAACGAGACCUUCGGGUGUAUUGGCGCACGGGUGCGUAACCCGUGGGAACCUUCCCUUAUGUUCGGACUAACUCCCCGAAAGGGGUGCUAAUACCGGAUAAUGUCUUCGGCCCAAAGAUUUAUUGCCUUUGGAUGGGCCCGCGUUGGAUUAGCUGGUUGGUAUGGUAAAAGCAUCCCAAGGCGAGGAUCCAUAGCUGGUCUGUGAGGAUGAUCAGCCACACUGGGACUGAGAAACGGCCGAGACUCUUACGCGAGGCGGCAGUGGGGAAUAGUGGACAACCGGCGAAAGGAUGAUCCAGCAAGGCCGGGAGAGUGAUGAAAGCAUGAGGGUUGUAAAGCUCUUUUACCCGGGAUGAUAAUGACAGUACCGAGAGAAUAAGCCCCGGCUAACUCCGUG
This 433-nucleotide ribosomal RNA is filed under the name uncultured bacterium. Its description in RNAcentral is "partial 16S ribosomal RNA". It matches the Rfam family "Bacterial small subunit ribosomal RNA", at positions 29 to 507 of the family's 1533-position model. The record is from RNAcentral.